This 459-nucleotide ribosomal RNA is filed under the name uncultured bacterium. RNAcentral's name for it is "partial 16S ribosomal RNA". It matches the Rfam family "Bacterial small subunit ribosomal RNA", at positions 338 to 795 of the family's 1533-position model. The record is from RNAcentral.
CCUACGGGAGGCAGCAGUGAGGAAUAUUGGUCAAUGGUCGGGAGACUGAACCAGCCAAGCCGCGUGAGGGAUGAAGGUACGGAGUAUCGUAAACCUCUUUUGUCAGGGAACAAAGGCGGGGACGUGUCCCCGGAUGAGUGUACCUGAAGAAAAAGCAUCGGCUAACUCCGUGCCAGCAGCCGCGGUAAUACGGAGGAUGCGAGCGUCAUCCGGAUUUAUUGGGUUUAAAGGGUGCGCAGGCGGUCUGUUAAGUCAGCGGGCAAAGCCCGGGUCUCAACCCCGGCCCGCCGUUGAAACGGGCAGUCUCGAGUUGGAGAGAAGUAUGCGGAAUGCGCGGUGUAGCGGUGAAAUGCAUAGAUAUCGCGCAGAACUCCGAUUGCGAAGGCAGCAUGCCGGCUCCACACUGACGCUGAGGCACGAAAGCGUGGGUAUCGAACAGGAUUAGAUACCCGGGUAGUC